CCCCAGACUCCUACGGGAGGCAGCAGUGGGGAAUAUUGGGCAAUGGGCGCAAGCCUGACCCAGCAACGCCGCGUGAAGGAAGAAGGCUUUCGGGUUGUAAACUUCUUUUGUCAGGGAAGAGUAGAAGACGGUACCUGACGAAUAAGCCACGGCUAACUACGUGCCAGCAGCCGCGGUAAUACGUAGGGAGCAAGCGUUGUCCGGAAUUACUGGGUGUAAAGGGAGCGUAGGCGGGGAUGCAAGUUGGGUGUCAAAACUACCGGCUCAACCGAUAGUCGCACUCAAAACUGCAGCUCUUGAGUGAAGUAGAGGCAGGCGGAAUUCCUAGUGUAGCGGUGAAAUGCGUAGAUAUUAGGAGGAACACCAGUGGCGAAGGCGGCCUACUGGACGGUGACUGACGCUGAGGCUCGAAAGCGUGGGGAGCAAACAGGAUUAGAUACCCUAGUA
RNAcentral lists this ribosomal RNA (447 nucleotides) under uncultured bacterium. RNAcentral's name for it is "bacterial SSU rRNA". It matches the Rfam family "Bacterial small subunit ribosomal RNA", at positions 329 to 792 of the family's 1533-position model. The record is from RNAcentral.